This 1095-nucleotide ribosomal RNA is filed under the name Anischys sp. WCW-2003. Its description in RNAcentral is "SSU rRNA". It matches the Rfam family "Eukaryotic small subunit ribosomal RNA", at positions 421 to 1412 of the family's 1831-position model. Lineage: Eukaryota; Metazoa; Arthropoda; Insecta; Hemiptera; Acanthosomatidae. The record is from RNAcentral.
GAAGGCAGCAGGCACGCAAAUUACCCACUCCCGGCACGGGGAGGUAGUGACAAAAAAUAACGAUACGGGACUCAUCCGAGGCCCCGUAAUCGGAAUGAGACCACCCUAAAUCCUUUAACGAGGAUCUAUUGGAGGGCAAGUCUGGUGCCAGCAGCCGCGGUAAUUCCAGCUCCAAUAGCGUAUAUUAAAGUUGUUGCGGUUAAAAAGCUCGUAGUUGGUUCUGCGUGCCACGCUGUCGGUUCACCGCCUGUCGGUGAGACUGGCAUGCCGUGGCAUGUCCUGUCGGUGGCUUCACAGGCUCCGCGGCGCGCCCUACGCGUUGACACGUGUAGGUAGUUGCGCCGCGGUGUCCUUGUAGGCCGGCUCAAUCCUUCCCCGGUGCUCUUUACCGAGUGUCGGGGUAGGCCGACACUGUUUACUUUGAACAAAUUAGAGUGCUUAGAGCAGGCUCUAUAAGCAGCCUGAAUAAUGGUGCAUGGAAUAAUGGAACAGGACCUUGGUUCUAUUUUGUUGGUUUUAGGAAUCCAAGGUAAUGAUCAAUAAGGACAGGCGGGGGCAUUCGUAUUGCGACGUUAGACUUGGCAAAUGCUUUCGCGGUGAAAUUCUUGGAUCGUCGCAAGACGCACUAGAGCGAAAGCAUUUGCCAAGUAUGUCUUAAUUGAUCAAGAACGAAAGUUAGAGGUUCGAAGGCGAUCAGAUACCGCCCUAGUUCUAACCAUAAACGAUGCCAGCCAGCGAUCCGCCGGUGUUCCUCCGAUGACUCGGCGGGGAGCUUUCCCCGGGAAACCAAAGCUUUUGGGUUCCGGGGGAAGUAUGGUUGCAAAGCUGAAACUUAAAGGAAUUGACGGAAGGGCACCACCAGGAGUGGAGCCUGCGGCUUAAUUUGACUCAACACGGGAAACCUCACCAGGCCCNUGACAUUAGAAGGAUUGACAGAUCGAUAGCUCUUUCUCGAUUCAGUGGGUAGUGGUGCAUGGCCGUUCUUAGUUGGUGGACUGAUUUGUCUGGUUAAUUCCGAUAACGAACGAGACUCUGGCCUAUUAAAUAGACGGCGCUCCCGGUAUACAUACCUACCGGCGCUAUAUUUUUCUUCUU